Molecule: ribosomal RNA, 1397 nt
Filed under: uncultured bacterium
Lineage: Bacteria
Description: bacterial SSU rRNA
Rfam family: Bacterial small subunit ribosomal RNA
Source: RNAcentral
AACGUACGCUGGCGGCACGCCUAACACAUGCAAGUCGAACGAAGUAGCAAUACUUAGUGGCAGACGGGUGAGUAACAUGUAGGUAUCUGCCCUUUGGCCUGGAAUAACACGAGGAAACUUGUGCUAAUACCGGAUAAGUCUUUACGGAGAAAGCUUUAUGCACCAUUGGAUGAGCCUGCACUUGAUUAGUUUGUUGGUGGGGUAAUGGCCUACCAAGACUGUGAUCAAUAGCUGAUUUGAGAGGAUGAUCAGCCACAUUGGGACUGAGACACGGCCCAAACUCCUACGGGAGGCAGCAGUGGGGAAUCUUGCACAAUGGAGGAAACUCUGAUGCAGCGAUGCCGCGUGAGUGAAGAAGGCCCUUGGGUUGUAAAGCUCUUUCGUCGGGGAAGAAAAUGACUGUACCCGAAUAAGAAGGUCCGGCUAACUUCGUGCCAGCAGCCGCGGUAAUACGAAGGGACCUAGCGUAGUUCGGAAUUACUGGGCUUAAAGAGUUCGUAGGUGGUUGAAAAAGUUGGUGGUGAAAUCCCAGAGCUUAACUCUGGAACUGCCAUCAAAACUUUUCAGCUAGAGUAUGAUAGAGGAAAGCAGAAUUUCUAGUGUAGAGGUGAAAUUCGUAGAUAUUAGAAAGAAUACCAAUUGCGAAGGCAGCUUUCUGGAUCAUUACUGACACUGAGGAACGAAAGCAUGGGUAGCGAAGAGGAUUAGAUACCCUCGUAGUCCAUGCCGUAAACGAUGUGUGUUAGACGUUGGAAAUUUAUUUUCAGUGUCGCAGCGAAAGCGAUAAACACACCGCCUGGGGAGUACGACCGCAAGGUUAAAACUCAAAUGAAUUGACGGGGACCCGCACAAGUAGUGGAGCAUGUGGUUUAAUUCGAAGAUACGCGCAGAACCUUACCAACACUUGACAUGUUCGUCGCGACUUUAAGAGAUUAAAGUUUUCGGUUCGGCCGGACGAAACACAGGUGCUGCAUGGCUGUCGUCAGCUCGUGUCGUGAGAUGUUGGGUUAAGUCCCGCAACGAGCGCAACCCUCACUUUUAGUUGCCAUCAUUUAGUUGGGCACUCUGAAAGAACUGCCAGUGAUAAGCUGGAGGAAGGUGGGGAUGACGUCAAGUCCUCAUGGCCCUUACGUGUUGGGCUACACACGUGCUACAAUGGUAUCUACAACAGGAAGCAAGACGGCGACGUUAAGCAAAUCCUUAAAAGAUACCUCAGUUCGGAUUGCACUCUGCAACUCGAGUGCAUGAAGCUGGAAUUACUAGUAAUCGUGGAUCAGCGUGCCACGGUGAAUGCGUUCCCGGGUCUUGUACACACCGCCCGUCACACCAUGGGAGUUGGUUCUACCUUAAGGCAAGGUUUCAAACCCUUGACCACGGUAUAGUCAGCGACUGGGGUG